This 403-nucleotide ribosomal RNA is filed under the name Verrucomicrobiota bacterium. RNAcentral's name for it is "Verrucomicrobia bacterium partial 16S ribosomal RNA". It matches the Rfam family "Bacterial small subunit ribosomal RNA", at positions 355 to 776 of the family's 1533-position model. Lineage: Bacteria; Pseudomonadati; Verrucomicrobiota. The record is from RNAcentral.
UGGGGAAUAUUGCACAAUGGGGGAAACCCUGAUGCAGCGACGCCGCGUGAGCGAAGAAGGCUUUCGAGUCGUAAAGCUCUGUCCUAUGAGAAGAUAAUGACGGUAUCAUAGGAGGAAGCCCUGGCUAAAUACGUGCCAGCAGCCGCGGUAAUACGUAUGGGGCGCGCGUUGUCCGGAAUUAUUGGGCGUAAAGGGUACGUAGGCGGUUUUUUGAGUCAGGUGUCAAAGCGUGGAGCUUAACUCCAUUAAGCACUUGAAACUGAAAGACUUGAGUGAAGGAGAGGAAAGUGGAAUUCCUAGUGUAGCGGUGAAAUGCGUAGAUAUUAGGAGGAAUGCCGGUGGCGAAGGCGACUUUCUGGACUUUUACUGACGCUCAGGUACGAAAGCGUGGGGAGCAAACAGG